GUGCCAGCCGCCGCGGUAAUACGUAGGGACCGAGCGUUGUCCGGAUUCAUUGGGCGUAAAGAGCUCGUAGGCGGCCACUCAAGUCGAAUGUGAAACCUCGAGGCUUAACCUCGAGCCUGCAUUCGAUACUGGGCGGCUAGAGUCUGGUAGGGGGAUCUGGAAUUCCUGGUGUAGCGGUGGAAUGCGCAGAUAUCAGGAGGAACACCGGUGGCGAAGGCGGGAUCCUGGGCCAGUACUGACGCUGAGGAGCGAAAGCGUGGGGAGCAAACAGGAUUAGAAACCCCCGUAGUCC
Molecule: ribosomal RNA, 292 nt
Filed under: uncultured bacterium
Lineage: Bacteria
Description: partial 16S ribosomal RNA
Rfam family: Bacterial small subunit ribosomal RNA
Source: RNAcentral